Molecule: non-coding RNA, 2412 nt
Organism: Microcebus murinus (gray mouse lemur)
Lineage: Eukaryota; Metazoa; Chordata; Mammalia; Primates; Cheirogaleidae
Source: RefSeq, a predicted model, not a curated record
AUGGCAUGGCCAUCUGUGCUGUUAGAAAGAGACUCUUUUCUCAUCACCUACCUGUCUCCCUCAUUCCAGAGAUUCUUGGCUUAGGCGAGUCAGGUGCCUCACUUUUCUGGGCGCGUUGCCACCACCUGGAUGCUUGAGAACAAUCUCAAAGGGAACACAUCCACCAGUGAAGCCGUGGCUGAUGAAAUUAUUUAAAAAAAAAAAGCUUUCUGAAAAUGGUGGAGAAAAGCUGGCCACAGGUAUGGAAACCCUCCAGAAACUGUGCUUUCUUCUAUUAAGCUAAAUAAAAACUUUCGGAGGAGAGCAAUUGAAGCUGAAGGAAGCUCCCUCUUCAGUCGCUAUACCAGGAAGUGGAAAUGAAGUCGCUCGGCUCUGCUCUCAACUUUAUUUACUCUAAAAGGCAUUUCUAUAAAAAGCUGCAAAACCAAGGGGUCUGAGAUCUGACACCUGAAAUGGCUGCAGUCACACAAAGGCACCCCUUUUCCUGUCUCUUGCUGAUUGACCUACCCAUCCUGCCUUUCAGUACACAGCCCAUAAGUCUGUAUUUAGGGCGAUGGCCAGCUGUAUACCGUACACACACUCAAAACACUCCUCUCUCUGCUCUUGGACAGCUUCCCCUGUGAGUUUGGUAUUAGAACUCAGGACUGUAUUCCUGUCUUUCCUCUGCCAUUAUCCUAUCUGUAGGAUAUUGUAUACUUUCUGGGACCUUUCUGAUGUUUCUUGCUCUAUAAAAUACUCAACAAUAAUGGCAGCUAAUAUUGAGUACUUGCUGUCUGCCAGAUAUUAUUCUAAGUGUUCUCUGUGUAGAUGCAUCAAUUCUUUUAAAACCUCACCACAAUCUUACAAAGGAGGUAUUUUUGCAAGAGAGGAAAUGGAAGCAAAAUUUCUCCCCGGUGGUAAACGGUUCAAUGGACUUGAACUCAGAGCCUACAUGCUUAACCAUAAACGACUCUGAUUUCUCUGAAUAUGUGGUUUGUAACAUAUGCCAGUACAAUCAAUUCUCAUUAUUUGCAGUAGUCGCGUUCUGUAAAGUCAUUGCAAACACUGAAACAGCGAAUACGGAACCAUUGCUCCCCGGGGAAAUAAGGAGUUAGGUUCCUAAGAGCCUCUGGUGACAUCUUUUUUUGUCAACCAAUCAAUACAUGACUGGUUUAACGUGUGUUUCUGUUUAAAGACAUCUAUGUAAUAUAUAUUGUUGAUUCAUUAAUAUGGAACUCCUGGCCAACAGCACUGCAACUCGUGCCUGAAGCAAGCUUUCAUAACCUAUUUGCUCCAUAAGUUCCUUGCACUUAGGAACACUAGGCAGGGCUUCCACAUGCCUCCAGGGGGCCUUUUUAAACAGCAAAAUCACUGGCAAAAACCACAAAAACAUGAAAAACAUGGCACUCAAUAGACCAUGAAAAAGACACGUGUUUCCAGUAUCAGAGCUGAAACAAGGCGACAGAGAACCACCUUGGUCCACCUCACCUGGGAAUGCACGUUGGGCAACUCAAAUGUUUUGCUGUUCUGUACAUCCGCCAAUGACUCCAGAAGCAAUCAUGAGCAUUGAUUUGGGGGUUACAAGUAAAUUUCAGAGGGUAGGAGAAUUCACAGAUAUGGAAUCUGUGAAUAAUGAAGAUCUACUGCACACAAUAGUUGGAGGAAAAUCUCAGGAGAUCUUAAAACAAGAGUAGAACUAGAAGUUGGGUUGAGGGGAGCACAGCUCAGGCAGGGACACUCUUAGGGGCAAAAGCACUGAGCUGUCCCACUGUCUUCCUGAAUUAAAGAAAGAAAAUGAAACAUUCCGGUCACUCCACAUGGCCAGCGAGGUUCCAUAUCUCAGAAAUACCUGUAUAUGUUGACCCCUCAUCUUGGAUUUUAGAAAGAUGUUUUCAUUCAUAAAUACAUGACUUCUAUGUCUACAACUUAUAUUUCUCGUUCUCUGCAAUGGAUUAGAAUGGCAUUUGCGUAGCAGGUAUUAAAUCAUAUUUUCUUUAGGGAGAAAGUAAACAAUUGGUGGGGAAAAAAACAGUGGAGAUUCAUCCAUUCCUGCACCCACGCUCUAGCUCCUGUGGUUUGUAAGCUGAGGAGUAGAGGUGUCUGAGUGGCGGGUGGGGGCCAAUCCGGGUUUCUGGCGAGCUUCUUCAUAAUCAGGCAACUCAGAGACAGUCUGUGGACCCACAGCAUUGGCGUUACCUGGGAGUUUGUUACAAAGCCAGACACUCAGCCCCCGCCCCAAAGCUGCUGAAAUUGAAUCUGCAUGUUAACGAGAUCCAAAUGUGCUUCCCGUAUAAAUUAAAGUGAGAGAAGUAGACCUUUGCAAAACCAGGCACCGAUCCUAGCAUCGCCUCGCAAUACCAAGCACCUGUUAAUUCUCUUCUGCCCCCUGUAAUCAUAACUCUCACCACAGCUUUUGCAUAAUGCGAAGGUCGC